GGGUUGUGAGGUUAAGCGACUAAGCGUACACGGUGGAUGCCCUGGCAGUCAGAGGCGAUGAAGGACGUGCUAAUCUGCGAUAAGCGUCGGUAAGGUGAUAUGAACCGUUAUAACCGGCGAUUUCCGAAUGGGGAAACCCAGUGUGAUUCGUCACACUAUCAUUAACUGAAUCCAUAGGUUAAUGAGGCGAACCGGGGGAACUGAAACAUCUAAGUACCCCGAGGAAAAGAAAUCAACCGAGAUUCCCCCAGUAGCGGCGAGCGAACGGGGAGCAGCCCAGAGCCUGAAUCAGUGUGUGUGUUAGUGGAAGCGUCUGGAAAGGCGCGCGAUACAGGGUGACAGCCCCGUACACAAAAAUGCACAUGCUGUGAGCUCGAUGAGUAGGGCGGGACACGUGGUAUCCUGUCUGAAUAUGGGGGGACCAUCCUCCAAGGCUAAAUACUCCUGACUGACCGAUAGUGAACCAGUACCGUGAGGGAAAGGCGAAAAGAACCCCGGCGAGGGGAGUGAAAAAGAACCUGAAACCGUGUACGUACAAGCAGUGGGAGCACGCUUAGGCGUGUGACUGCGUACCUUUUGUAUAAUGGGUCAGCGACUUAUAUUCUGUAGCAAGGUUAACCGAAUAGGGGAGCCGAAGGGAAACCGAGUCUUAACUGGGCGUUAAGUUGCAGGGUAUAGACCCGAAACCCGGUGAUCUAGCCAUGGGCAGGUUGAAGGUUGGGUAACACUAACUGGAGGACCGAACCGACUAAUGUUGAAAAAUUAGCGGAUGACUUGUGGCUGGGGGUGAAAGGCCAAUCAAACCGGGAGAUAGCUGGUUCUCCCCGAAAGCUAUUUAGGUAGCGCCUCGUGAAUUCAUCUCCGGGGGUAGAGCACUGUUUCGGCAAGGGGGUCAUCCCGACUUACCAACCCGAUGCAAACUGCGAAUACCGGAGAAUGUUAUCACGGGAGACACACGGCGGGUGCUAACGUCCGUCGUGAAGAGGGAAACAACCCAGACCGCCAGCUAAGGUCCCAAAGUCAUGGUUAAGUGGGAAACGAUGUGGGAAGGCCCAGACAGCCAGGAUGUUGGCUUAGAAGCAGCCAUCAUUUAAAGAAAGCGUAAUAGCUCACUGGUCGAGUCGGCCUGCGCGGAAGAUGUAACGGGGCUAAACCAUGCACCGAAGCUGCGGCAGCGACACUGUGUGUUGUUGGGUAGGGGAGCGUUCUGUAAGCCUGCGAAGGUGUGCUGUGAGGCAUGCUGGAGGUAUCAGAAGUGCGAAUGCUGACAUAAGUAACGAUAAAGCGGGUGAAAAGCCCGCUCGCCGGAAGACCAAGGGUUCCUGUCCAACGUUAAUCGGGGCAGGGUGAGUCGACCCCUAAGGCGAGGCCGAAAGGCGUAGUCGAUGGGAAACAGGUUAAUAUUCCUGUACUUGGUGUUACUGCGAAGGGGGGACGGAGAAGGCUAUGUUGGCCGGGCGACGGUUGUCCCGGUUUAAGCGUGUAGGCUGGUUUUCCAGGCAAAUCCGGAAAAUCAAGGCUGAGGCGUGAUGACGAGGCACUACGGUGCUGAAGCAACAAAUGCCCUGCUUCCAGGAAAAGCCUCUAAGCAUCAGGUAACAUCAAAUCGUACCCCAAACCGACACAGGUGGUCAGGUAGAGAAUACCAAGGCGCUUGAGAGAACUCGGGUGAAGGAACUAGGCAAAAUGGUGCCGUAACUUCGGGAGAAGGCACGCUGAUAUGUAGGUGAAGUCCCUCGCGGAUGGAGCUGAAAUCAGUCGAAGAUACCAGCUGGCUGCAACUGUUUAUUAAAAACACAGCACUGUGCAAACACGAAAGUGGACGUAUACGGUGUGACGCCUGCCCGGUGCCGGAAGGUUAAUUGAUGGGGUCAGCGCAAGCGAAGCUCUUGAUCGAAGCCCCGGUAAACGGCGGCCGUAACUAUAACGGUCCUAAGGUAGCGAAAUUCCUUGUCGGGUAAGUUCCGACCUGCACGAAUGGCGUAAUGAUGGCCAGGCUGUCUCCACCCGAGACUCAGUGAAAUUGAACUCGCUGUGAAGAUGCAGUGUACCCGCGGCAAGACGGAAAGACCCCGUGAACCUUUACUAUAGCUUGACACUGAACAUUGAGCCUUGAUGUGUAGGAUAGGUGGGAGGCUUUGAAGUGUGGACGCCAGUCUGCAUGGAGCCGGCCUUGAAAUACCACCCUUUAAUGUUUGAUGUUCUAACGUUGACCCGUGAUCCGGGUUGCGGACAGUGUCUGGUGGGUAGUUUGACUGGGGCGGUCUCCUCCUAAAGAGUAACGGAGGAGCACGAAGGUUGGCUAAUCCUGGUCGGACAUCAGGAGGUUAGUGCAAUGGCAUAAGCCAGCUUGACUGCGAGCGUGACGGCGCGAGCAGGUGCGAAAGCAGGUCAUAGUGAUCCGGUGGUUCUGAAUGGAAGGGCCAUCGCUCAACGGAUAAAAGGUACUCCGGGGAUAACAGGCUGAUACCGCCCAAGAGUUCAUAUCGACGGCGGUGUUUGGCACCUCGAUGUCGGCUCAUCACAUCCUGGGGCUGAAGUAGGUCCCAAGGGUAUGGCUGUUCGCCAUUUAAAGUGGUACGCGAGCUGGGUUUAGAACGUCGUGAGACAGUUCGGUCCCUAUCUGCCGUGGGCGCUGGAGAACUGAGGGGGGCUGCUCCUAGUACGAGAGGACCGGAGUGGACGCAUCACUGGUGUUCGGGUUGUCAUGCCAAUGGCACUGCCCGGUAGCUAAAUGCGGAAGAGAUAAGUGCUGAAAGCAUCUAAGCACGAAACUUGCCCCGAGAUGAGUUCUCCCUGACUCCUUGAGAGUCCUGAAGGAACGUUGAAGACGACGACGUUGAUAGGCCGGGUGUGUAAGCGCAGCGAUGCGUUGAGCUAACCGGUACUAAUGAACCGUGAGGCUUAACCUUACAACGCCGAAGGUGUUU
Molecule: ribosomal RNA, 2930 nt
Filed under: Escherichia coli
Lineage: Bacteria; Pseudomonadati; Pseudomonadota; Gammaproteobacteria; Enterobacterales; Enterobacteriaceae
Description: 23S ribosomal RNA
Rfam family: Bacterial large subunit ribosomal RNA
Source: RNAcentral